CUGGAACAGUUCGGUCCUGGAGGAUUACCCGAGUUGGCCGAGAUGCCUCAGAUCCCGCCUCCCGGCGUUUUGUACCCGGCACCAGUGGCACCAGUGGCUCCCAUCGCUCCUGUUCUCCCUCUUUUGAACAAUUUUGAUCUGGCUGCUAUUGCCCAGGAUGUCGAAGAUGGAGUUAUCGAAUUGGUGGACCUCGUUAGCGAGGACGAACAAGACUGAAUUGAUUCGUUUUCCCGACGCCCCUUCCCAUGAUGAUGGCUCCGCUCGGGAAGAGUGAGAUGUGGUUUAGUUUUAGCUUCUGUUUCUUUCUUUUAAUUUGUGGUGGGCUUAUUUGAGAUUUCGACUGUCCACAUUAGUCUCUAUUGUGAUCUCUAUUUUAUAUGAUGCCCCUUUUAUGGACUAGCGGGCUUUUAAUUCCUUCACUCAUUCGUGUUCCUUUGUUGAUAGUGACUUGUAUUUUAUUGUGAUUUCUCUAUUUUUUGAUGCCCCUUGUUAUGGAUUAGCGGGCUUUUGAUUCCUUCACUCAUCUGUCACUUGACUCUCCGUCCCUUAGGAUAAUAAAUUGUUAUGCAUGACUUUGGUGUUUGGAUUGAAACUCCUUUAUCUUUGCCAUUGGUUUAUUGUAAACUUUGAGCAUGAA
Frankliniella occidentalis (western flower thrips) is the source of this 637-nucleotide long non-coding RNA. RefSeq lists it as uncharacterized. The record is from RefSeq and is a predicted model, not a curated record. NCBI's taxonomy places the organism in Eukaryota, Metazoa, Arthropoda, Insecta, Thysanoptera, Thripidae. The transcript has 3 exons.